Molecule: transfer RNA, 75 nt
Filed under: Desulfuromusa kysingii
Lineage: Bacteria; Pseudomonadati; Thermodesulfobacteriota; Desulfuromonadia; Desulfuromonadales; Geopsychrobacteraceae
Description: tRNA_Val_CAC
Rfam family: tRNA
About the family: Transfer RNA (tRNA) molecules are approximately 80 nucleotides in length. Their secondary structure includes four short double-helical elements and three loops (D, anti-codon, and T loops).
Source: RNAcentral
GGGCGGUUAGCUCAGCGGGAGAGCAUUCGCCUCACACGCGAAGGGUCGUCGGUUCAAUCCCGACACUGCCCACCA